This 694-nucleotide ribosomal RNA is filed under the name uncultured bacterium. RNAcentral describes it as "bacterial SSU rRNA". It matches the Rfam family "Bacterial small subunit ribosomal RNA", at positions 32 to 715 of the family's 1533-position model. The record is from RNAcentral.
AACGCUAGCUACAGGCUUAACACAUGCAAGUCGAGGGGCAGCAUGGUCUUAGCUUGCUAAGGCUGAUGGCGACCGGCGCACGGGUGAGUAACACGUAUCCAACCUGCCCUUCAGUAAGGGAUAGCCUUUCGAAAGAAAGAAUAAUACCUUAUGUGGUCGUCAGAAGACAUCAGACGACGAUCAAAGAUUUAUCGCUGAAGGAUGGGGAUGCGUCCCAUUAGAUAGUAGGCGGGGUAACGGCCCACCUAGUCUUCGAUGGAUAGGGGUUCUGAGAGGAAGGUCCCCCACAUUGGAACUGAGACACGGUCCAAACUCCUACGGGAGGCAGCAGUGAGGAAUAUUGGUCAAUGGGCGAGAGCCUGAACCAGCCAAGUAGCGUGCAGGAUGACGGCCCUAUGGGUUGUAAACUGCUUUUAUAAGGGAAUAAAGUGAGCCUCGUGAGGCUUUUUGCAUGUACCUUAUGAAUAAGGACCGGCUAAUUCCGUGCCAGCAGCCGCGGUAAUACGGAGGAUUCGAGCGUUAUCCGGAUUUAUUGGGUUUAAAGGGAGCGUAGAUGGAUGUUUAAGUCAGUUGUGAAAGUUUGCGGCUCAACCGUAAAAUUGCAGUUGAUACUGGAUAUCUUGAGUGCAGUUGAGGCAGGCGGAAUUCGUGGUGUAGCGGUGAAAUGCUUAGAUAUCACGAAGAACUCCGAUUG